Molecule: ribosomal RNA, 468 nt
Filed under: uncultured bacterium
Lineage: Bacteria
Description: partial 16S ribosomal RNA
Rfam family: Bacterial small subunit ribosomal RNA
Source: RNAcentral
GACGAACGCUGGCGGCGUGCUUAACACAUGCAAGUCGAACGGAAAGGCCCUGCUUUUGUGGGGUGCUCGAGUGGCGAACGGGUGAGUAACACGUGAGUAACCUGCCCUUGACUUUGGGAUAACUUCAGGAAACUGGGGUUAAUACAGGAUAGGAGCUCCUGCUGCAUGGUGGGGGUUGGAAAGUUUCGGCUGUUGGGGAUGGACUCGCGGCUUAUCAGCUUGUUGGUGGGGUAGGGGCUUACCAAGGCUUUGACGGAUAGCCGGCCUGGGAGGGUGGACGGGCACAUGGGUCCUGAGAGACGGCCCAGACUCCAACGGGAGGCAGCAGUGGGGAAUCUUGCACAAUGGGAGGAAGCCUGAUGAAGCAACGCCGCGUGCGUGAUGACGGCCUGCGGGUUGAGAACCGCUUUCGCCUGUGACGAAGCGGGAGUGACGGUAAUGGGUAAAGAAGCACCGGCUAACUACGUG